GGUCAAGCUACUAAGAGCAUAGGGUGAAUGCCUUGGCACCAGAAGGCGAUGAAGGACGUGACAAGCUGCGAAAAGCUGCGGAGAGGCGCAAAUAGCCAUUGACCCGCAGAUAUCCGAAUGGGGGAACCCGGCCAAACUAAACAUUUGGUCAUCGUUACAUGAAUACAUAGUGUAACGAGGGCAUACGUUGGGAACUGAAACAUCUAAGUACCAACAGGAGUAGAAAUCAAAAGAGAUUCCGUAAGUAGUGGCGAGCGAAAGCGGAUUAGCCCAAACCGGGUGAUAGCAAUAUCAUCCGGGGUUGAGGACCGGCAUAAUGAUUCUCAAGUCAUAGCAGAAUGAACAGAUGGAAAGCUGAGACCACAGAGGGUAAAAGUCCCGUAUGUGAAAUGAUGAGAGACAGGCCGGUAUCCAGAGUACCACGAGGCACGUGAAACCUCGUGGGAAGCAGGGUGGACCACCAUCCAAGGCUAAAUACUAACUGGUGACCGAUAGUGAAGCAGUACCGUGAGGGAAAGGUGAAAAGAACCCCGGGAGGGGAGUGAAAGAGAACCUGAAACCCUAUGUUUACAAGCAGUUGAAGAGCGUUAAAGCUCGACAGCGUACUUUUUGUAGAACGGUCCGGCGAGUUAUUGUAUGCAGCGAGGUUAAGUACUGAAGGUACGGAGCCGAAGGGAAACCGAGUCUUAAAUGGGCGACAAGUUGCAUGCUAUAGACCCGAAACCGGGUGACCUACCCAUGGACAGGUUGAAGCGGGAGUAAAAUCUCGUGGAGGACCGAACCACAUGACCGUUGAAAAGGUCUGGGAUGAGCUGUGGGUGGCGGAGAAAUUCCAAUCGAACUCGGAGAUAGCUGGUUCUCCCCGAAAUAGCUUUAGGGCUAGCCUCAAGUUAGAGUCAUACGGAGGUAGAGCACUGAAUGGGCUAGGGGCCUUACCAGGUUACCGAACCCUAUCAAACUCCGAAUGCCGUAAUGAUGUUACUUGGGAGUCAGACUACGAGAGAUAAGUCCCGUGGUCAAAAGGGAAACAGCCCAGACCAUCAGCUAAGGUCCCAAAAUUACAGUUAAGUGGAAAAGGAUGUGGGCUUGCUAAGACAACUAGGAUGUUGGCUUAGAAGCAGCCACUCAUUCAAAGAGUGCGUAAUAGCUCACUAGUCGAGUGAGCCUGCGCCGAAAAUUACCGGGGCUAAACUGUAUACCGAAGCUAUGGAUCAGCGUGUGUUCAAUGGUGUACCUAGUGCAAAAGGCGGAUAGGACAUUUCACGAAAAGUUUCAUAAGAGAAUAAUUGAAAACUUUUCGUCAAAUUAUCCUUCAGCUAGAUGUAUACCGACUGAUAGUGUGAAACAAUAUCAGGUAAGAAACUAGGGACAGCAUUGAACACACGAGGGUGGUAGGGGAGCUUACUGUUGUAGGUUGAAGCAAGACCGGAAGGACUUGUGGACGAAGCAGUAGUGAGAAUGCCGGAAUAAGUAGCGAAAGUAAAGUGAGAAUCUUUACCGUCGAAAGCCUAAGGUUUCCUGGGGAAGGUUCGUCCGCCCAGGGUAAGUCUGGACCUAAGCUGAGGCCGAAAGGCGUAGGCGAUGGAUAACAGGUUGAAAUUCCUGUACUGCCGUUAAUCGUUAUGAGAGAGGUGGGGACGCAGGAGGAUAAGUCAAGCGAACAGCUGGAAAAGUUCGUGCAAGCGGGGUAGAUAGUCCGGUAGGCAAAUCCGCCGGAUGUUUCGAAGACGUGAUGCGGAGGGAAAACAAGUACCGAAGUGACCGAUUCCACACUGACGAGAAAAGCCACUAUCCAGAUUAAAGGUACCAGUACCGCAAACCGACACAGGUAGGUGAGGAGAGAAUCCUAAGACGAGCGGGAGAAGCGUUGUUAAGGAACUCGGCAAAUUGACCCCGUAAGUUAGCGAUAAGGGGUGCCUGCGUGAGCAGGUCGCAGAGAAUAGGCCCAAGCAACUGUUUAUCAAAAACACAGGUCUCUGCUAAAUCGAAAGAUGAAGUAUAGGGGCUGACGCCUGCCCGGUGCUGGAAGGUUACGGGAAUUGCUUAGCAAAUGCAACCGCAAGGUUGCUAUGCGAAGGCAUGAACUUAAGCCCCAGUAAACGGCGGCCGUAACUAUAACGGUCCUAAGGUAGCGAAAUUCCUUGUCAGGUAAGUUCUGACCCGCACGAAUGGCGUAAUGACUUGGGCACUGUCUCAACAACGUACCCGGCGAAAUUGUAGUACUUGUGAAGAUGCAAGUUACCCGCGACUAGACGGAAAGACCCCAUGGAGCUUCACUGUAGCUUGAUAUUGGGUUUCGGUAUUUUUUGUACAGGAUAGGUGGGAGACUGAGAAUUAGUGGCGCCAGCCAUUAAGGAGUCGACGUUGGGAUACCACUCUAAAAGUACUGGAACUCUAACCUGGAGCCAUAAACUGGUUUAGGGACACUGUCAGGUGGGCAGUUUGACUGGGGCGGUCGCCUCCCAAAGAGUAACGGAGGCGUCCAAAGGUUACCUCAGCGCGGUUGGAAAUCGCGCAUCGAGUGCAAAGGCAUAAGGUAGCCUAACUGCGAGAGAGACACCUCGAGCAGGUACGAAAGUAGGGCUUAGUGAUCCGGUGGUAUGAAAGUGGAAUUGCCAUCGCUCAACGGAUAAAAGCUACCCUGGGGAUAACAGGCUUAUCUCCCCCAAGAGUCCACAUCGACGGGGAGGUUUGGCACCUCGAUGUCGGCUCAUCGCAUCCUGGAGCUGUAGCAGGUUCCAAGGGUUUGGCUGUUCGCCAAUUAAAGCGGUACGCGAGCUGGGUUCAGAACGUCGUGAGACAGUUCGGUCCCUAUCUGUCGCGGGCGCAGGAUAUUUGAGAGGAUCUGUCCUUAGUACGAGAGGACCGGGAUGGACGAACCUCUAGUGCACCAGUUGUCAUACCAAUGGCACAGCUGGGUAGCCAAGUUCGGCAGGGAUAAACGCUGAAGGCAUCUAAGCGUGAAACCCACCUCAAGAUGAGAUAUCCCAUAGCGUAAGCUAGUAAGACCCCAUGUAGACUACAUGGUUGAUAGGUCAAGAGUGUAAGUGCAGUAAUGUAUUAAGCUGAUUGAUACUAAUAGGUCGAGGGUUUGACCCA
Molecule: ribosomal RNA, 3099 nt
Rfam family: Bacterial large subunit ribosomal RNA
Source: Rfam